UUUUUUUUUUUGUUCUAUGUUAUGUUUCUAUUUUUCUUUUUCCAGUUUUGUCUAUUUUUAUUUCCUAUUGUUUUGUAUUUUUUUCAAUUUUAUUUUUCUUUCUACCUUUUUCGUAAAUUCAAAAUUUUCAUAAAAGUUCAUAAUAUCCAAAAAUUCAAUUUUUAUAUGUUCGAGAUUUUAAAUAAUAUACUCUUUUGAAAAAUGUUCAGAAAGUUAAAUCUUUGUUCUCAUUCAGAAAUUGGUUUAGAUUUUUAAAACAAUGUUCCAUUUUUUCUUUGUGUUUUCCAAAGUUGUUCGAGAUUUUUUUAAAGAAGAAUUUAAAAAAAAUUCCAAAUAUGAAAAAUAUUCUUGUUUUAGUGAAAGGUUCGCAAAUUCAGAAUAAUGUCAAGAAACACAUUUUCAAAAAUUGUUCUCAAUGUUCAAAAUAUGUUUCAUAUUUAAAAAAAAUCAUAAAUUCAAAACAUGUUCAUGUUAUUAUAAAGGGUUUAGGUUUUCAAAUAAAAUUGUGAAUUUUGAGUGUUUCAUAAUUAAUUGUGUAUUUAUGAAAGUGUAAAGAAUUUCAAAAAAUGUUCGGGAUUUUCAAAAUUAUUCAUGUUUUCAGGAAUGUUCAACAAUUUAUAUUUUUUAAACAGUUCAAAAAAAUGUUUCGAUUCUGACUUUAGAGUAUGAUCUUAAAGGUUUGAGCUGGCCAUUGUUUGGUAGGACUCGUUUCUUUGAGUGGCUAGUAGCAUGUAGUCGGGUCUUUGAGCGCAUGAUUUUGAUCCCUCAACUCAUCAUUUUUUUGAUUUUUUUUCGUGCCUUACUAACACAGGUCGUCUUGGCGACUACGAGUGUAUGUCCCAUGCGCUAUUUUACGCAACUGGCGUCAUAUAGUAGCCCCCACGCAGUUGGCCCAAGAAACAAAUUGCUCCGUCGCAUAGGUUAUAUUAUCCUUCAGCCGCGCUCCCUUACUGGGUCGUUCGAGGGAGCAAUUUUUUUUCCUUGGGCCAAUAAAAGAGAAUAUAUUUGUUUGGCUCGAAUAAAAAAAUUGUGGGAACGCGAGCGCUAAACUAAUCAAAGAGAAUAAACCCUAAUAGAGAAGGGACAUUGGUGUCUGGUUAUGCGCUAAAUAUGCUAAUGAAAUGGGAUUUAUGCGCUACAAUUAGUAAUCCAUCCGGUUAUGCCAUCGUAAGAAAGAAUGGUCGAAGCAACUGUGCCCCGAAGGUCACCGCAUAGCUACCAAAUAUGGAGGCAGACACAAUCCCUAGACAGAGGCGGACCCCAAGGAAAAAAAGGCACGAGUUGGAUGGUUGCCGCCACACCGACUAACGCCACCACUAUCAAGAUCUCGUGGAACAAACAUGACCCAAGAGAAGACCACAACUCCUCUCUCUAUUGCACCACUAUGGAGAUCAUUUUUGGUGGACACAUCAAUUAUCUCUCUCCUUGCUUCUACAAAGAAACAUCUCUCCCGUUGCAACGCACGGGCAUAUGUGCUAGUUGUAAUACCAAUGCCUCCAAUUCAUUAUUUCUUAAGGAACUUCAUUACUUUAUUUUUAUUUUCGUUUUUUGUUUCAUUUUACUUUUUUUUUCCUUUAAGGAUAAUACUCAUGCCACUAAAUUCAUUCCUUCUUAGAAACUUCAUUUUUUCGAAAUUCCACUAUUAUAUGUGUAUUCUUCCAUCUUAUAAGAAAGCAUAAUUUCUUUGUAAAUUGUGCAUAAUUUUUUUCCGUUUUGAUUUUCUUAAAGGGCAGUACCAAUGCCACUAAUACAUUCUUUCUUAGACAACUUCAUUAUUCUUAUUUUGUUUAAUUUUUAUUUCAUUUCUUCUUCUAAAAGGGUAAUACCAAAGCCAAUAAUUCAUUCUUUCUUAUAGGUACUUAUUAUUAUGAUUUUAUUUUAUUUCUUAUGUAUUUUUUUAAUGGUUAACCAAUGCCAGUAAUUCAUUCUUCUUAUGAAAAUUAAUUUGUGUGUGAAAAAUCUACUAUUUUGUGUUUGUUCUUGCAUAUUGUACAAAAGUGCAAAUUUUGUGUAAAUUGUGUGCAAAUUUUGUCAAUGUUUGGUUUAGAAUUUUUUUUCUUUUAAACGGUAAUAUCAAUAGCACUAAUUCAGUCUUCCUUAGAAAAUGUCAUUAUUUUGAUUUUUUUUAGUUUUUAUUUAUUUUGUUUCUUCUCUAAGGAUAAUGCCAAUGCAUUAAUUAAUUCUUUCGUAGGAAACUUUUUGUUGUCAAAUUUCUAUUAUUAUAUGCUUGUAGUUGCAUAUUAUAAAAACACAUAUGUAAAUUGGUUGGAAAUUUGGUCAUUGUUUGUCUUUUUAUUGGGUAAUACCAAUACCACCAAUUCAUUCUACCUUAGAAAACUAGAUUUUUUAAUUAAUUUUCUUUCUGCUUUAAGGGAAUACGAAUGCAGCCGAUUCAUUCCUUCUCAGGAAGCUUCUUUUUUGGAAAAACAAAAUCCACUGGUAUGUGUCUAUUCAUGUAUAUUAUAAAACAACACAAUUUCAGUGUAAAUUUUAUGCAAAUUUAUGAUUAUUUUUUAAUUUUAUUUCAUUUUUUUCUUCUUAAAGAGUAAAUCUAAUGGCACUAAUUCAUUUUUAUUAAAAAAAUCAUUAUUUUGAUUUUGGUUUCAUUUGUAUCUUAUUAAAGGGUAAUACAAUGCUACUAAUUCAUUUCUUCUUAGCAAUUAUAUGCUUAUUAUUGCAUAUUAUAAGAAAAGUGCAAUUUAUGUGUAAAAUUUGUCCUUUUUUUAGUUUUUGCAAAGCAUUUUUCUUGGUCAUUUGCUCUAUACCAGCGUUAUUUCUCAUUGCAUCUAGAUUGUAUAUGUACUGUAGCAAGUGAUGGGACAGAACUACUUUGUUCUGCCCGCAUGUGGACUGCAAAGGUCAAAACACGAAGUCCCUCUCACACUUGACUCUCACACACACACACACGCAUUAAAUUUCUAUGACAUGCAUACACUACACGCAACGCAGUUUCUCUCGCGAGCUCAUUCUCAUUUGUAUAUUUCCCCCAUGCAUACACACCGCACAAAUACACACUAACACACAGCAAAAAGAAAAAUCUCUGACGAGCUCUCUCUCCUCUCAUUAAAUCUCUGACAUGCAACACAACACCAUCUCUCUCACAAGCGCGCGCGCUCUCUCUCUCUCCUGGCGCUUUCUCCCUCUUAGGAUUAUUGCUGCUGUGCUCUGCAAAUUGCAAGAGAGUAGCACCCCGGACCCCGGUCCAUCCCGACAACUGACACUCUCCGCCCCGAGAGGCCGAGACCAACGAUGCUAGUAUGCUACACCUACGGCUACGGACUGUUGUUACGGAUGGAUGUGUCAAAUUAUGAUUGGAGAUUAGCGGAAGAGUGGCCCACAAGGGGAUGAGGUAACUGGUGGGAGAGUUUUCCGUAAGACCAAUCAAUCCGUAGAGAAUUGUCCGUGAACGUAUCAUUUUUGCCGACACACAGGUGUAUACAUGCAGCAUGAGUUUUUGUCAAGGCAGGGAAAUAUCAGGCGCAGCGCGGCGUGGGUGUGUUGGCAGGAAUAUGGUUCUAGUGGCACGAGGGAGGCCUUGCGUGGUUGCAUGUGGAAAGACAAGGAAAACGAAUCAAUCAGCUGGACGACGUGGCUGAGAGUGCAAUAUAAAAAGCUCUUUUAUUUUAUCCUGCCUUUCCAUUUCGUUAUUAUUAUAUUCAUGUGUAGUGCUCGAUGGUGAUAGCUGCCAACUCUGUAAUUCCGUCUGUGGUGGUAAUAUUAAGGACACAUGUUCCAUGCGGUGGUGGUUGCUCCUCAAAGUCGAAAACCCAUUCUGUCGGUUCGUUUCUGUUCUGUUAAAACCGACUGUUGUCAAGUCUGAAUCCAUGCUAGUCCUGACCGGUUGUUGCUGGUCAACCGUGCAUACAUCCACCAUGAGUACCAAACAUAUACUCUGAGAUCAGCUCAGCUGACAUCAUGAUGUUUACUUGUGCCGUUUUGCUAAUCAUUAGGUGCCUGAAUUUUUUUCCCGCGUCAGUCAGUCGAUUUUGAGCAAGAUCGAAGAUGGGGGUGACGUGACGAGCAGCAGUGAGGAUUGUUGACCCCGGCGAGCCCGAACCUAGACCUCAUUGGAAAUGGGGGCGUCGCUGCGAGACGUCGUCGGAGAAGACAAGGAAGAGGAUUGACUGGUGCGGUUGGGGAGAGUGGGCUGCCGUCGACGGAAAAGAUUUAGGUCCGGAGGCGGAGUAUAUAUAGAUCGGAUGCAUGCCAGGCGAGCAGAAAGGGCAAUGAUGGCAUGGGUGCAACACGAGGACGGGUGCAAAGUGAGGUACUCCCUCCGUUCAAAAUAUAGUGUUUCCUUUAUUUUUGUGUUUCAACUUUGACCAUAAAUUUAACCAACGAAACCGACUGCGGCGGGAGCAAAAGUUAUACCAGUGAAUUCGUAUUCAAAAGAAGUUUUCAAUUAUAUAUUUUUUUCUCCCGCCACAGUCGGUCUCGUUGGUUAAAUUUAUGGUCAAAGUUGAAUAUCGGAAAGCGCGGGCGCACUAUAUUUUAAAAUGAAGGGGGUACUUACUAAGCUAAGCACAUACAGUAUAUCACUUGUCAGCUCAAAACAGUGGACGGUCGGUUAUGAUUUCUUGAUGCCACUCUCUUGGACGGACAGACAAGGUGUAGGUAGGUAUAUAUGCAGGACAGGAGGGAGGCCUUGCAAAUGGUUGCUUGUGGAGCUGGAGAUUCCAUCCUUGUUGGUGGCUUCUUGUUUCUUUCUGCAACAAGGAGUUGGGAAAUGCUUUUCUUUCCGGCCGGUAGGUGUUGUGGCCGUUUCUUUUCGACCCAUUCGUUCGUGUGGUAUGCAGGGUGGUCGUAGCACCAACCAACUCCCUAGGUAAUUCUGUACAAGUACUAUUUGUAGUACUAGUAUGCGUGCUCGCGCAAUGCACGUCUUUACAUUACAGAGUGAUUUUUGCGAAAAUAAGUCAUGAAAAUGCCGAAGAAAUGAUUCAAGACAUAUGACCAUCAUGCAUCUACGGACUAUGUAAUUUGCACAAAAUUUGGGGUACCUAUUGCAGAAAAUACAUAGAUGAACCCACAUCGAAAACACAAUUUUAAAUGACAAAAAAAAUUCUGAAAAAGUAUAUAUGAACUCGCUUUGGAAAACAAAUGUCCAAAUGACAAAAAAAAUCUGAAAAAUGUGGCACUCCUUCGUCUCCCUCCAUGUUCUAUGUGAUCAUAGAAAGUUUCGCGGAAAAACAACUUUCUUUACAUGUGCAAAAAGAGGAAGAAAACAUGUCUUGAAACGCUAUUCAGAAGCACCAAAUUUUGUUUUUUAUGCGGAGGCAAAAUAAAAAAGAUAUUUUUUUCGUUUUUGUUCCCCGCACAUAUUUUGUGAAGAUGUACGCAUUUUUUUUGCAAUUCUUGAUAUUUUAAAACAUAUUUAAAAUGCAUUUUUAAAAAAUGGGUUCAUGUAUGCUCCCUCCGUCUCAAAAUAAAUAAUUUUAGUAAAGUUAGUACAAAUUUAAAACAUAUUUAAAAAUGGGUUCAUAUAUUUUUUAGUAAAGUUAGUACAAAGUUGAGCCACUUAUCUUGGGAUGGAAGGAAUACAUUGUUUCAGAUAGUACGUACCCUACCUAUUGCUAUGUUUACUGUACUCCCUCCAUUUCAAAAUAUAGUACUUUCUCUAUUUCCAUGCUUCAACUUUGAUCAUAAAUCUAACCAACGAGACCGACUGCGGCGGGAGCAAAAAUUUAACCAACAAAAAAACACUAUAUUUUGAAAUCAAGGAAGUAGCAUUUACUACACCAAUCCGCCCAUAAAUGCACGCAAGGCAGUGAGGCCAUGUAUGUGCGCGAUGCACUGGUUAGAUUUGUUUACUUCAUUUUUUUUAUCGUUCUACUUUUUAUCUCCUGUCAGACUAUGUGGUACGUACCCCACUUGUUUCUCCUUCCAGACAUGCCAUGUACCCCAGUGAUGUGAAUAUGGCAUGGUCACUUUGUUUGCUCCAAUGAAUUGACAUGUAGUGCGUCCCUUAGAGCAACUUUAGUAGAUCCCGCAACCCGUCCCGACCCGUAAAAUAACCGUCAAAAUGUAGGUCGGACGAAAAAACCAGCCCGAUCAGACCCUGCAUCCCGCCCGACCCGUAAAAGAUUUUAGGGGGCGCGACAAAAUCCCGAUCCCAACCCAGGAAAACGCGGGUUUCCCCCUCGCGGCUGCGGUGCCCUGCAUAUAAGCAGAAGCGGUUGGGGGGGGGGGGCAUUUCAUCCCGCGCUUUCUCCCACCAACCACCUCUCCUCUCCCCCCUCGCGCCGCCGCCGGCCGCCGCCCAAGAUUCCGGCGACAGCAGUCGGCAGGAGCACGCCGGAAGGUCGCCACGCGCACGAGGCCUCCCCUCCCUUCUCCCCUGCGUCGGUGGGCCGCCGGAUUUGCAUAUCUGCGGCACUUCAUCGCGGGCCACCGGAUCUGGCUUUUUCCGGCCGCCGGUUGCUGCCCCAGGCAAUGGAGUGGUCGGAGAGCCUCUCCCGCAGCCCAUGCAAGGGCGCAUCGCCGCAUGCAGGCACGGGUUCGUCCGCCCGCCGCCGCCGAAGGUUUGCGGGCAUGGACUCGUCCGGCCGUCCACCGGGCUCAACGCUCGCGCAGCGUCUUUGUGGCCUGUCGAUGCCACUCAUAGAGUGCGACGACUGCCCGCGCCAAGUGCUGCGGCUCACUUCGGGCACACCGAAGCACCCCAAAUGGGUGUUCUACAAAUGCCAAAACGACGGGGUACGUGCACUUGCGGUAGCUCGUUCCAUAGCUCAUUCUUUAGUUCAAUUGCGGUUGCUCCACUUCGAGCUUGCUUAUUCUUUUGUGUAGGACGAUGGAUGCUCAUUUUGGUUUUGGGAAGGCCAAUACAUUGAUUUGUUGAUAGAAAGGAACUUAAUAGAUGUUAGUGCACUCCUUAGUACAAUCGAAAGCAAUGAUGCGGCUGCAUGUGCAACUAGAGGGGAAGCAACGUCUACUUCUUUGAAACAAAAGAUGAAGAACGAAGAAAGCAAGAUCAAGAAUCCGCAGAUCAACAAUGAGUGCAUGGAGAAUAUAUUGCUUCAACUAGUGGGAGUAGUUAUGGAAGUUGAAAAUCUUCUGAAAUGCAUACUUGUGGUUCUUGUUUUCUUUCAUUUUGCUAUUCUAGCCAAGAUUUGGUGAUAUCUUUUGUAUCUAAUGUUGUUGCAAAAGCAAAGAAAAGCAUUAUGCUAGAUCAAUUUAAGUUGCAAAUCUAAGUUUUACGGGCCGAGAGGAGCUGCGCCAGAUCAGAACCCGCAGAAGCCGACUCGUAAAAAGAGUGUAUUCCGCGAAUAUGCUUUUUUACGGGUCCAUUAUGCGGGGUGUGCAUCUGUGCCAGCCCACACCGGCCCGCAAAAGCGGUUUUGCGCGAACUGCAAACGCGUUUUGCGGGCCGACGGGAUGCGGGGUCUGCUAGAGUUGCUCUUACUCGAGUGCUAACCCGUAGAUGUAUCUGGAACAACCCAGAUAACACCAAAUUUUACUGUAGCAGCGAAUCCCUGCAAUAUAAGCCGUCGGAUGGGGCCCAAUUAACGGCCAGAAAUGCAUUUCAAUGUGUGAAUUCAAACAUUCAAAACUGAUACACUAUAUAGUAGUAUAGAUAUAGAUAUAGAUUAUUAAGCGCAUAGGCAGUAUCACACAUGUUCCAUGUGGUGGUUGGUGCGCGCUGGAUCAAAUAUACUCUGACCGGCCAUGCCCCUCCUCCCAACUCCACAACCGACACGGUCGGUUCAUUCCAGCUCCGUUCUGCUCCGUGAUGCUGAACUCCGAACUGAUGGCACAGUUGUAGGUUAACCAUGCGUGCCGCCGUCAUAUACUUCCUCCGUUUCAAAAUAAAUAUUAUCGGUUCAGUAUAAAGUUGUACUAAACCAGCGACACUUAUUCGAGGAGCCGUCAUGUCGAAAACAGAUGAGCAGGAAACACAGUAGCAAAAUGCUCCGGUGUUCAUCCUUUUUUCUGUGCUUGUGUGCUAGCUCAGAGUUUGUGAUUCUGCAAGGUUUUCACAGGCACCAUUUGUGCAGUUGAACGAAAGAACCAGGCGAACGGACCAAGGAUACAAGACGCAAAGCACCUGCCAUGUCAACCUCAGAUUCAGGCCCGGAGCCAAGAGGUGUACAGUGAACAGUGGAGUGAGUGUUGAGAGAGAUGCAUCUGCAUGGAAGGAGACAGGCGGCCGCUGUGUACCUACGGGCUGCGCGUGAGUGAGCUGAGCUGAGCUGAGCUGGUGCGCACGCAAUUGGGCGUCGGUGUCGCCCGUCCGUCCACCUCCAAUGCCAGCCCCGCAUCCCCUGUCCCGUCCUCUUCCUCCUCGCGCCGCAACCGACGAAUCCUCCCCCAGACCCCCACAUGGCCUCUCACAUGCACCCACCAUAACCAAUUUUCUAUCAUCCCUAACCUCCUCCUCUCGCUUUCUCUAAUCAUAGAUUAAGUGAGUGAAAGUGAAGCCUCACCGCACCACGAGCUCGGUAAGUCCACUGCACCGACGGUUUCAUCCAUCCAACUACCGCGCUCGCUCGCACUCCCCUUUUCUUUAGUGAGCUGCCGUGCAGCUCCGCCACCCACAUCAAAGCGAGCUCACCCCAUCUCCUCCUUCCUCCCUCCCUCCUCCCCUGCUCGCCGCUCUGCUCAAACAAGCAGAUCCAAGCAGCAGCAGCAGAGCGCCGGAGGGACGCCAGGAUGCACGCCAAGACGGACUCGGAGGUGACGAGCCUGGCUCCAUCCUCCCCAGCGCGCUCCCCGCCGCGGGCGGCCGCCAGCAACAACGCCGGGGGCGGCGGCGGGGUGAUGCGCGGCUCGGUGUACUACGUGCAGAGCCCGUCGCGGGACUCGCACGACGGGGAGACCACCACCAAGGGGGCAACCUCCGUGCACUCCACGCCCGCGCUCAGCCCCAUGGCCUCGCCCCGCCACUCCCACUCCUCCGUCGGCCGCGACUCCUCCUCCAGCCGCUUCUCCCGCGGCGCCGCCCACCACAAGGACAAGUCCGGGGGCGGCCGCAAGGGCGCGCCGCCGGGCAAGGGGUGGCAGGAGAUCGGGGUCAUCGAGGAGGAGGGGCUGCUCGACGAGGAGGACCAGCGCCGCCCCAUGCCCAAGCGCUGCAAGUACUGCCUCAUCUUCGUCGGCGGCUUCGCGGUGCUCUUCACCUUCUUCGCGCUCGUGCUCUGGGGCGCCAGCCGCUCCCAGAAGCCGCAGAUCGCCAUGAAGGUACCUUUUUCUUUAUUCUUUCUUGGUUCUUGCUUGCUUGGUUGAUGCGCUUGGAUCUGGAGCUGACGGUUGAUUUUGUGGGGAAACGAACGAAAUGAAACAGAGCAUCACGUUCGAGAACUUCAUCAUCCAGGCCGGCACGGACGCGUCGCUGGUGCCGACGGACAUGGCCACCACCAACGCGACCGUCAAGUUCACCUACAAGAACACCGGCACCUUCUUCGGCAUCCACGUCACCGCCGACCCCUUCACGCUGUCCUACUCCCAGCUCAACCUCGCCGCCGGAGACGUAAGCCUUCCAUCUCUUUCUUCCCCUUUGCAUCAACUGGAUCUGGAGGCCCGUCCGUCAGAUCCAAGAACGAGACUAACCAAAGGUGCGCCUGCAGCUCAAGAAGUUCUACCAGGGGCGGAGCGGGCGGCGGACGGCGAGCGUGAACGUGAAGGGGAACAAGGUGCCGCUGUACGGCAGCGGGCCGACGCUGAUGGCGCAGCCGGCGGGGGGCAAGGGCGGCGCCGGCAAGGUGAUCCCGGUGCCGAUGGUGCUGCGGACGACGGUGCGGUCGCAGGCGUACGUGCUGGGGGCGCUGGUGAAGCCCCGGUUCACCAAGGAGGUGGAGUGCAAGGUGGUGAUGAACCCCGCCAAGCUCAACAAGCCCGUCUCCCUGGAGAAGGCCUGCAAAUACUCAUGAUCUGCUCAUGAUCCAUCCAUCAAUUGGUUGGUUGGUUGAUUGAUCGAUUGAUUGAGUAAUCGAAUCAAUUGGUUGAUCGGUUGAUGAGUAAAUUGUUCUUCUUCUUCUUUUCUUGCUCUGUGCAUUUCUCUCACGUAUGCCUUUUCUUUUUGUGUAUCUAUAUAUGUUGCUCCACUAUAAAUUAUCAAGUUUUGUAAUCGCCGUGGUGGCUGUGACAGUGAUGGACCAACUACUCAGUGGAGUGAUUCUUUUCGGCGUUGCAUUCAUCCUUGCUUAUUUGUUCUUGUAAUUAUGUGUAUGUAUGUAUGUGUUGUUUGCCAAUGCGAAGCAAACCAAAUGACAUAGAGAACAUGUCACUGCUACUUGUUGCGAGUUUUUCCUCUUCUUAUCUACACAACAAGUUGUUGCUCCAUUUGCAAUCGUCAAGAGAGAAAAACUUGUUGCUCCGGGAGCAACAUCGUGUUUGUUAACCAAAGAUGCUAGUAAUUACUCUUCAAGAUUGAAGGAUUAUACACCGGGGAAUGCAGCACUUCACGAUAACAUUUCUUCUAAGCAAGUUUUAAGUCAUGAGGACUUGCUCAACCUUUGUCGCCGCUAGGCCUUGCUUGUUUGUGCUACGGUUUCGGCCGUAGAUUUGUGGCUGUGGCAAAGAUUUUAGCGCGAAACAAGGCGCUUGCCCGGGUUGCUCCAUUUGACAACAUCCUCAUGGCUCAUGUGAAUGGGUUGGACCUACGCCUUCAUUAUUGGUGCCUUUGCUCAUGGGGUUUGGGUUGAGGCCCAUGACCUGAAUAACAUGAACUUCGUAUCAUGGCGUCUUGGGUUGCUUGACGCCGCCACUGCCAAGGUCAUCGACAAGCUCCAAACAGGGAAUUCAAGGGCAAGUCCAUUUACAUCAUACGGAAUAUAUAUACAAAAGUAGUGUAUCCGGGGCAUCUUCAAGUCCCUUGCAACCCCUGUCUUUCGUGUGUCAUUGUUUGUCUAGGCCGCGAUCUCCUCGUGCAGAUUGGUGUUUUUUGCACAAGCGGUGAUCUAAGGCUUUUGGGCUUAUGUUCUUCAUCUUUUUUGCUAGAUGUGGCUGGUUUCAAGGGUUUUCCCUUCUUUCUGGACUUGGAUUUUUAUUUUGACCUCGAUCACCUAUACAUAAACUUCAUUCUCCCUUACGUUGCAGCAUUGAGAUCCUGCCUUCCACGACAAGAAAACCUAUCACUUUAGAAUUCAAAUUAGGGGCACACAAAUUAGGGGGUUGUAAAGUAAUCGAGCUCGAGCAUAUCUUGGUAGCCUUGACUCGAGCUUGGUAAAAGCUUGAGCGAGCCUAACUUACUAUUUGAACUCCAUGUUAGGCCGAGCUUUCCUUGAGUUCGGUAGAAUCGAGCGACCUAAGUUGGUCUUCGAGCUCAUAUCCACAAAGUUUGGUAACUAAAUAAAGUUAACAUUUACUCAUGUCAAAACACACUAAGCUCGACGAUACUCGGAUGGGCUCCAUGUUGAAUCGGCCAAGUGAGACUGCAAUGGAAGAAAACAAUGUUAACUUGUAUAAAAAAUAGAGUAAAUAUGAUAAAUAUUGAGUAAGCUAGAGCUCAGUUCGACAAAAUUACAUAGAUGUAUAUAUAGAAAAGCCUUAUGUAACCAUUCGUGCUUGAGACCGGUAAGCUCGCAAGCUUGAUUCCAGGUUCAAGCUCAGCUCGAUUAGGGCUCAAGUUGAGCUCGAACCCAGCCCAAAUCGAGCCAAACUUGAAUAGAUCAAACAUAUCAUACAACCAUAUACUAGGGUGAGCUCUCAUAUGGCUUUUCAAAACCACAGAGAUAAGUUAACCUUGUGCACAUUUGGUCAAUAUCUUCAAGGAAGUCAAGUGGAUCAUUGAGAUCUAAAAUUUGAAGCUCGAGAUAAUGAUUUACACUAACCUUGAUCUGUCUUUUACUUUUAUAAUGGAUAUGUUGUUUAUUUUUGUGUCAUUUUGGUAUUCAUAUGUACUUUUUCCGCAAAAAAAAUCAUAUGUACUUAGUUUGCUUAAUCAAUAAAAUAUUCUCUUUUUGCUCAAAAGGUUCUAUAAUCUUUCGGUGCAAUAUGCAUCUUUGUAAAUUAGCUAGAGAAUUUACGAAGCCUACCAGUCAGGUUGGUUUCGAUGGGAUUGGUGCCAAAUGAGUUAAGGAGAGGACAAGUGAUUGGUAUCUCCGGAACAGGUAUAGGAUUUAUACAGGUCACAUUUUUUUAGAGACAAUCAAUGUAAAAAUCUAGUGAAAAUCUCUAUAAUCAAGAUCAAAAGAUGGUGGAUUCAAGGACAGACUACUAGUUGACAUUUCAUCCAAUCUAGAAGUAUCACUUUGUUCACAACUAAAGUCGAUAGUCUUGUACUCAAUAAUUGCCAGACAGUUUAUUUGCAAGAUACAUAUACACUCUAAAGACUAACAAGUUUUAUGGAUAUCUAAUGAUCUGAAAAAAGAUACAAAUGGACCCACAAUGUGAUAAAUUUUGGUUUGUUUUGAUUUAUAGCGAAAUCUACUACAAUAGUACAAUUUUUAUAACAUUCCAAAGUAAAUAAAAUAUGUUUGCACUAAAAAUAGUUCCAUUUUAGCACCAGAAAAUAUAUCUCUAAUGAUAAAUAUUGGAAUGUUAUAGUAAAUAUGUAGGGAAUGCUCUAUCCGAUCCAAAAUAAGUGUCAUGAUUUUAGUUUAAAUUUGAACUAAAACCACAACACUUAUUUUGGGUUGGAGAGAGUAUAAAUUAGGGUGUUACCAUUGUUCAUUCUUCUUAUUCUACCUAAAAAUAUAUAAAUUAAGAUAUUAUAUUGAAUUAUGUAUACCAACAUAAUGAACAUAUCUUAGGCGACUAAAUAAGUUAUCAAAAAAUAAAAAAAAUAAGUAUAAAUAUGUGAGAUCACAAAAAAUAUUGAUGUCCAAUUUGUAUGAAAUCUUGUCAAAACACCCCAUAUAAUUGUUUCAUCCUUCAGUUACAUCGGUGAUUGCUGGUCCAGGAAAAGAGUGAGCUACACCGGCCAUGGUGGCGUUAGGUACUCGGGGAAAUAUAGGUGUCAGGAGACAAGGUUAGGAUGUCGCACGUUGCAAACCAGGCAAACACUCCCCUUGAUGCAGUUGAACUAGAAUGUGUAUCAACAAACAGACAUGAAGGUGUAUACGAUGCCCUUUUAGACGUCGCCCACCGACCACGACAUACAAAUGCAGCAUCUGGGCAGGCUAUUGUUGCCGGGAAGCAUAGGCGACCUAGGAAAAGGGGAAGGCCGUCGAAGAUUCGACUUUCUCUUGAAUGAUAUGUAUAUCGUAAAAACCGAACAGUGAUCGCUGAAGUCAAAAGAGACAAAAAAAUAUCCACAGUGUACAACUUUAAGCCACAAGAGGAAAAAAAUUCCCAUUUGCAUCUAUCACUUUUUAGUAUAACCUGAUCACCAAAGAUUAAAAUUCUAACAAACAAUGAUUGAGGCAAGUACUUGAGAGUCAUGAUUAGUAGUAAAGGUACUAUUACCUUUCGCAAUUGCCUUUGCACGGCACAGUUAAGUCUGCAGGAACUUCAUGAUUCGGUUCAAGUGACUUUCUUGAGUGUCCGCAUCGUGGAAGGCGCUCCAUACACUUUUGAAUAUGGAGGCCGAGUUGCUUGCUCCUCACCACCUCACCAAGUUGUGGUCAUGGAUAGUCAAGGUGCUACUAUGGAGGUUAUUGAUCCCCCAUCCACCCAAGUUGUGUUGCUAGAUUCUCGUGAUUGUGAUGGUGGAAAAAUGCCAAUGGGCGAAGAUGGUUACAUUUAACUGUCAGGACAUGUUGCUUCUAUUGAAUUACGAACAAGGAGUACCUAUUCUCAAAAAUUGGAAGAAACCCUGAAAGUUGUCAUACAAGCCUACUCACAGUCUGGCGAUAUUGCUGCGCAAGCUCACGUCAUAUUCAAGCCCAGAUCUUGCAAUACAAGUCGGUAUACAUGUGACCUUGGCAAAUUGAACCCGAGCGAUUGCACUGCAGGCUAACUGAACCCGAGCAAUCGAUCGAUGGUUGUUAACUGAACCUGAUCGAGCGAUUCCUUCUCUACUGCUGCUAACUGAAGCCGAUAGAUAUUGCCUCUCUGGAUGAACAGUGAGCAUUGCGGGGUGGAGGGGGGUUGGAUGAACAGUGAGCGGUGGCGUUGCCUCUGAAUGAACAGGACCCCGUGGUGUGGAGGGCUAGAUGAACAGGACGACCCCGUGGAGGGCUGGAUGAACAGUAGACGGUGAAGGGGUGCCCGUGGAGGGGUGGUUGAACAGUAGCCGGUGGAGUAGCGCGCGGUGGAGGCUGGAUGAACAGGAGUCCGUGGAGGCUGGAGGAGGUUGACGGUAGCCCGUGGAGGCUGGAGGAGGUCGACAGUGGAGAUGAACAUUAUCCCGUGGAGUCCCGUUUUGCGGUACGCCACAUCCCUCCCGAUGAACAGGACCCCCGUUUCGACCGUAGCGCUCCAACAUAAGUCCGUUUCGUCCGUUUUGCGGUACGUCACACCCCUCCCGAUCAACAGGACCCCCGUUUCGACCGUAGGAGGUCCGUUUCAUCCGUUUUGUGGUACGCCACACCCCUCCCGAUCAACAGGACCCCCGUUUCGAUCAUAGGAGGUCCGUUUCCUCCGUUUUGUGGUACGUCAGACCCCUCCCGAUGAACAGGAUCUCGUUUCGAACGUGACCGGUCGAACACAAGGUCGUUUCCUCCGUUCUGCGGUACGCCAGGCCUCGCUUCCAUCGCCUGUUCCGUCCAAGUCCUGUUGGUCGCGCGCCACCUCUGGCCACCGCAGCCUUGGUGACGGUGCUACGGGUGGGGUUAAUGGGCAGGGAAGAGCUCUGCUCAAUGGCGUAGCUAGGGGGUGGGCAGGGUGGUCCAUGGACCACCCUGGAAUUUCCCCAUAGCUUGUACAUAGUGCAGUAAAAAAUAUUUCUUUAAAAAUAAUUAAUUUUAUGUAAAUAUUUUUAUCAAUGGACCAGCCCUGACAUAUUGGGCUGGCUACGCCACUGGCUCUGCUUCGUCGAUUUGCCCCGCACCCCCUCCCGUCGGCCAGUAAUCAAUCGGCUGAGGACGAGCGAAUGAAGGCGAGCGAGCUUCAGGCAGCAGCACAAGGGCCUCUCCAACCGACACCUAAACUUCCCUCCGCUGGAGCUAGUGUCAAUUGCCCUAUGCAUGGCCCAAACCUAGCCGCGAACCGAUCGACCUGAUCCAUAAGUACCAUCUUGAAUCCUACACCAACUCGUACAUGUGCUAGCAUGGAGGAACUUUUCAGUUCGGUUCAAGCCACUUUCUUGGGUGUCCGCGUCGUAGGACCCGGUCCGUGCCCUUUCAAACACGGAGGACGGGUCGCUUGCUCCUCGCCAAUUCACGAAGUCGUGGUCAUGGAUCAUCAAGGCAUUGCUGUGGAGGUUAUCGAUCCCCCAUCCACCCAGAUCGUGUUGCUCGAUUCUCAUCACUGUCAUUGUGGGAUAAUGCCAAUGGGCGAAGAUGGCUACCUUGAUCUGUCGAGGCGUUCUGUUUCGGUAAAACUGCGACACGAGAAAUCUUUUCGUCAACGGUUCAUGGAAAACCUCAAAGUUGUCUUUCAAGCCUACUCAGAGUCCGGUGGUAUCGCGGCGCAAGGUCAUGUCAAGGUCACGCCCCAAACGUGCAACAUAAGUCGACAUUUAUGCGACCUUGGCGACUCUAAGGUCGAGAUUACCAUUGCUUGGUCGGCUAUUCUUAUGAAGGCCUGAAAGCCGUCUUUCGUGACGGCAUUGCUGCGCAAGAUCAUGUCAAGUUCAGGACCAAAACAAACAAAAAUGUGAGAUUGGCAACUCUAAGGUGGAGACUACCGUUGCUUUGUAUGCUAUUGUAAAGUCCCAUAGGAUUCAGUAAUAUGUUUGAUUGAUGGUGCUCCGGCCUGAAUGUUAUGGGGUAUGGUACCUUUUGCUCAGUUAUAUCGAAUGUUAUGGAGUAUGGUACCUUUUGCUCAGUUACAUCUAUAUAUCCAUUUCUGUUUUGCCAAUACGUAGCUGUAUGUUCAAGUACUUGUUCGUCGGUCAGCUAUGUAAAAUGUCCCAACUAUUUGUGCAUCGAUUAUAAAAUUUUCGAGUUGUGUUGUGUCAAGUAUUAUGUUUCCAGUACUACUAAAGCUUGUGUUUGUUUGUUUGAUUUUGAGACUAUGGAACCUUGUAUGCACACUUUGCUGCUUUGAUUAAUAAGAGGGCCGUAUGCAUCAUUCUAGAUGCAGAGGCCGGGGUACCCCCUUUUCGAAAAAAAAAGAAAAAAAAAACUAAAGCUUGUAAGUUAUGGCGUGUGAAGUAUUCUGCCAGCACACUCACACAGCAAAACAAACGCAUACCACAAAAUUUCCACAAACAAUGUGUCUUUCUUUGUAUGAACCAGUCUGCAGCACCAACAGAUAAUACCUCAGUCUUCGCCUCUAGGUCCGAGUUCCGACCUCGCCUCGCCGACCACGCAAAUCGUACCGGACUUUUACCGCGCAGAGGAGCAAAAUUUCCUCUUCUGAAACAAUGCCUGAGCAGAGGGAUUUCCUCUUUUGAAACAGAGCCUCAUCAUUCAGAGGGUUUCAGGUUCAGCGGGAUUUCCUCUUUUUGAAACAGAGUCUGAUCAUUCAGAGGGUUUCAGGGGGAGAGUGAGCCUGGCCACCCUCGAGCAGCAUGCUGCGGCUGCAGUAGGACCUCGUCGUGCUCGACGACGAAUGCAGGGACCGCAUGUCGCCGCCGCCGC
This 16565-nucleotide long non-coding RNA is filed under the name Triticum aestivum (bread wheat). RNAcentral describes it as "long non-coding RNA (TAES_LNC018726)". The record is from RNAcentral. Lineage: Eukaryota; Viridiplantae; Streptophyta; Magnoliopsida; Poales; Poaceae.